This 450-nucleotide ribosomal RNA is filed under the name uncultured bacterium. RNAcentral describes it as "bacterial SSU rRNA". It matches the Rfam family "Bacterial small subunit ribosomal RNA", at positions 354 to 796 of the family's 1533-position model. The record is from RNAcentral.
GUGGGGAAUUUUGGACAAUGGGCGAAAGCCUGAUCCAGCCAUGCCGCGUGCGGGAAGAAGGCCUUCGGGUUGUAAACCGCUUUUGUCAGGGAAGAAACGUCGCAAGCUAAUACCUCGCGAUAAUGACGGUACCUGAAGAAUAAGCACCGGCUAACUACGUGCCAGCAGCCGCGGUAAUACGUAGGGUGCGAGCGUUAAUCGGAAUUACUGGGCGUAAAGCGUGCGCAGGCGGUUGUGCAAGACAGAUGUGAAAUCCCCGAGCUUAACUUGGGAACUGCAUUUGUGACUGCACGGCUUGAGUGCGGCAGAGGGGGAUGGAAUUCCGCGUGUAGCAGUGAAAUGCGUAGAUAUGCGGAGGAACACCGAUGGCGAAGGCAAUCCCCUGGGCCUGCACUGACGCUCAUGCACGAAAGCGUGGGGAGCAAACAGGAUUAGAAACCCCAGUAGUCC